Non-coding RNA from Aedes aegypti (yellow fever mosquito), 47 nucleotides. The record is from Rfam. Lineage: Eukaryota; Metazoa; Arthropoda; Insecta; Diptera; Culicidae.
CAAUCGGCCCUUUUCAGGGCCUACAAAUGUGUUUUAAAGAGUUGAUU